UUGAGUUUGUUGUGGCUGAGCGCAAGAGCAGGAUGGUGCUUGUUGUUGAACUGGAGCAGAUUGGCACGAGCAAGAUUGGGUUUGUUGAACCUGUUGGCAAGAGCACUGACUCUGUUGUGGCUGAGCACACCCACAAUGUCUCUUUUCACGAA
This is a non-coding RNA of Caenorhabditis elegans, 152 nucleotides long. Lineage: Eukaryota; Metazoa; Nematoda; Chromadorea; Rhabditida; Rhabditidae. The record is from Ensembl.